This 377-nucleotide ribosomal RNA is filed under the name uncultured bacterium. RNAcentral describes it as "bacterial SSU rRNA". It matches the Rfam family "Bacterial small subunit ribosomal RNA", at positions 521 to 896 of the family's 1533-position model. The record is from RNAcentral.
UAAUACGGAGGGGGCGAGCGUUGUUCGGAAUCAUUGGGCGUAAAGGGCGCGUAGGCGGCCUUGCAAGUCGGGUGUGAAAUCCCUCGGCUCAACCGAGGAACCGCACUCGAUACUGCCGGGCUAGAGUCCGGGAGGGGAUGGUGGAAUUCCCAGUGUAGCGGUGAAAUGCGUAGAUAUUGGGAAGAACACCGGUGGCGAAGGCGGCCAUCUGGACCGGUACUGACGCUGAGGCGCGAAAGCUAGGGGAGCGAAUGGGAUUAGAUACCCCGGUAGUCCUAGCUGUAAACGAUGGGCACUUGAUGUGGCAGGUUCUGACCCCUGCCGUGUCGAAGCUAACGCGUUAAGUGCCCCGCCUGGGGAGUACGGUCGCAAGGCUG